CUUUGCAAUAAUGAACAUCUCUCUUCUGUUUGAAUCUUAGUCUGCAGUUGAUGCCUGCAGAAUCUAUCAUGAUUAAAUUAAGUGUUUUAUGACCUUAUCAUAUCUUUCCCACCCUCGAAGGACAGGAUUUUCAUGUGGUAAUGACAAUGGACUAACUUGUGAGUCGAUGAAAGCCCAAUUAAUGCAGUGGUGGUAGGUUUAGGAAUGACUUAGGUUGUCAUAUAUCGGACUGAAGCAACAGAGUGGUCUUGCUGAGUGUUAGGUAGUUAUAGAAUUUCAGGAUAAGUUGAAAUCAAAUGUAAGUUUUUGAGAAGAAAGAUGUUAAAAGGUGAUUAAUGUAUCGCGCUUGGAGGUGGAGAGGAAAUUACAGGUCACUUUAUGGAAAGUCAAAGCUUGUUCACUUCUAGUAGUGUACCUCUUCUGGAUGAAGCAUAUGCUUAUGGAGUUGUUGAACAUCCUUUUCCGUUAAUUUACUUUCUCAGGUAUUGGCAGCUUGGCUCUGACUUUUAUCAGUUCGUAAAAAUUGGCAUUGUUCAAUAUGUACGAACACUAUCUUUGAGACUUUUUUAUUUUAUUAUUGUUAUAUAUUGGCAUUAAGUGAAAGUUCUCAUUUUCGCAGAUAAUAUUAAAGAUGAUAUGUGCUUUACUUGCGAUGAUUUUUGAAUCUCUUGGAGUUUAUGAGGAAGAAAAGUUUGAGUGGGGACCCUUUUCCAUCUAGUCAUAUUCUAAAGCUUUACAGUUCCUACUGUGUAACUGUGAACUCUUGAAUUAUAUUUUAAGGUUACUGUUCAAUGCAAUUUAGGGAUGUUAUUUAGUUACAUCUAGCGAAGAGAAUAAACAUUUUUCCAUUUUCAUCUGAAAGUUUUUCGAUGUUUUGCAGUUAUCCAUAUUUGGCAGUUUUUGAGUUUUAGCGGACCUCGGCCUUACCUUGUCCAGUCUUAUUCUGUCACCAAGAUUAAUUGGCACGAUUUAAACCUUGGGCCAAGUUUUUGACAUUCAAGUCGAUUGUUUUCCAGACAUGGUGGCAAGGUGCUGCUGUUGCCUUUCUUCUCAUUUGGAGCCCUUAAGGGGAUCAUUGGUGCAGGUUCUGAAAAUACGACAUGGUGGCAAGGUGUUGCUGUUGCCUUUCUUCUCAUUUGGAGCCCUUUAGGGAUCAUUGGUGCAGGGUCUGAAAAUACGUAUACAAGACUAUAGCAUCUGUAUCGAGGUGCGUUGGUUUGUGUUGAUCUUUCAAUCUUUUGCACUAGGUAAUUUAGUAUUCUUAUGCAUGAAGAUGAUUAAUUCGGUCUUUGUGGCCAGACUUUAUUAUGGAUUAGUACAUUGUUAUACCAGUUUUAGUUUGUCUGUUUAUUUUUCGCGUAAAAGGUUUUAGACAUACUGUCAUCUCGUUA
This 1391-nucleotide long non-coding RNA is filed under the name Olea europaea subsp. europaea. Lineage: Eukaryota; Viridiplantae; Streptophyta; Magnoliopsida; Lamiales; Oleaceae. The record is from RNAcentral.